Molecule: long non-coding RNA, 240 nt
Filed under: Elaeis guineensis (African oil palm)
Lineage: Eukaryota; Viridiplantae; Streptophyta; Magnoliopsida; Arecales; Arecaceae
Description: long non-coding RNA (EGUI_LNC016654)
Source: RNAcentral
UGGCUUAUCUGGAAGAGACGGGAUGAAGGGUAUGGGCGAAGUCGUUAAUGGCGCCAUAGCUGCAGGAACUGGAGCCCAAGCAGCCGAGGAGGCUCUGGCGGUACGGCAAGAAUGUCUUCCGUCGCAUCUCCUCCGCCUGCACUUGGUUCGUCGUAUAGUGCCGCUCGUGCGGCGACGGUGCCGGCACCCUUCGUCGCCCCACCCCAUCCGUCCUCCCUUCCUCUCCGAACCUCUUCGAAC